RNAcentral lists this ribosomal RNA (433 nucleotides) under uncultured bacterium. RNAcentral describes it as "partial 16S ribosomal RNA". It matches the Rfam family "Bacterial small subunit ribosomal RNA", at positions 29 to 507 of the family's 1533-position model. The record is from RNAcentral.
AACGAACGCUGGCGGCAUGCCUAACACAUGCAAGUCGAACGAGACCUUCGGGUCUAGUGGCGUACGGGUGCGUAACGCGUGGGAACCUGCCCCUAGGUUCGGAAUAACUCCCCGAAAGGGGUGCUAAUACCGGAUAAUGUCUUCGGACCAAAGAUUUAUCGCCUUUGGAUGGGCCCGCGUUGGAUUAGCUAGUUGGUAGGGUAAAAGCCUACCAAGGCGACGAUCCAUAGCUGGUCUGAGAGGAUGAUCAGCCACACUGGGACUGAGACACGGCCCAGACUCCUACGGGAGGCAGCAGUGGGGAAUAUUGGACAAUGGGCGAAAGCCUGAUCCAGCAAUGCCGCGUGAGUGAUGAAGGCCGUAGGGUUGUAAAGCUCUUUUACCCGGGAUGAUAAUGACAGUACCGGGAGAAUAAGCGCCGGCUAACUCCGUG